Molecule: ribosomal RNA, 460 nt
Filed under: uncultured bacterium
Lineage: Bacteria
Description: partial 16S ribosomal RNA
Rfam family: Bacterial small subunit ribosomal RNA
Source: RNAcentral
CCUACGGGAGGCAGCAGUGAGGAAUAUUGGUCAAUGGGCGUAAGGCUGAACCAGCCAAGCCGCGUGAAGGAAGAAGGAUCUAUGGUUUGUAAACUUCUUUUAUAGGGGAAUAAAGAUAUACACGUGUGCCUUUUUGCAUGUACCCUAUGAAUAAGAGUAGGCUAACUCCGUGCCAGCAGCCGCGGUACUACGGAGGAUGCGAGCGUUAUCCGGAUUUAUUGGGUUUAAAGUGUGCGUAGGUGGUUUGUUAAGUCAGAGGUGAAAGUUCGUGGCUCAACCAUAAAAUUGCCGUUGAUACUGGAAGACUUGAGUGUGUUAGAGGUAGGCGGAAUUCGAGGUGUAGCGGUGAAAUGCAUAGAUAUCACGAAGAACUCCGAUGGCGAAGGCAGCUUACUAGGCCAUAACUGACGCUGAGGCACGAAAGCGUGGGGAUCAAACAGGAUUAGAUACCCCAGUAGUC